UGGGGAAUAUUGGACAAUGGGCGCAAGCCUGAUCCAGCCAUGCCGCGUGAGUGAUGAAGGCCCUAGGGUUGUAAAGCUCUUUCACCGGUGAAGAUAAUGACGGUAACCGGAGAAGAAGCCCCGGCUAACUUCGUGCCAGCAGCCGCGGUAAUACGAAGGGGGCUAGCGUUGUUCGGAUUUACUGGGCGUAAAGCGCACGUAGGCGGACUAUUAAGUCAGGGGUGAAAUCCCGGGGCUCAACCCCGGAACUGCCUUUGAUACUGGUAGUCUUGAGUUCGAGAGAGGUGAGUGGAAUUCCGAGUGGAGAGGUGAAAUUCGUAGAUAUUCGGAGAAACACCAAUGGCGAAGGCGGCUCACUGGCUCGAUACUGACGCUGAGGUGCGAAAGCGUGGGGAGCAAACAGG
This 404-nucleotide ribosomal RNA is filed under the name Actinomycetes bacterium. Its description in RNAcentral is "Actinobacteria bacterium partial 16S ribosomal RNA". It matches the Rfam family "Bacterial small subunit ribosomal RNA", at positions 355 to 776 of the family's 1533-position model. Lineage: Bacteria; Bacillati; Actinomycetota; Actinomycetes. The record is from RNAcentral.